This 304-nucleotide small nuclear RNA is filed under the name Saimiri boliviensis boliviensis (Bolivian squirrel monkey). Its description in RNAcentral is "7SK RNA (ENSSBOG00000008642.1)". It matches the Rfam family "7SK RNA". From Rfam's summary of the family: 7SK was discovered as an abundant small nuclear RNA in the mid-70s but a possible function has only recently been suggested. Two independent studies have found that 7SK RNA binds the CDK9/cyclin T complex (known as elongation factor P-TEFb). P-TEFb activates transcription by phosphorylating the C-terminal domain of RNA polymerase II. Lineage: Eukaryota; Metazoa; Chordata; Mammalia; Primates; Cebidae. The record is from Rfam by way of RNAcentral.
GGAUGUGAGGGCAAUCUGGCUGCGACAUUUUGUCACCCCAUUGAUCACCAGGGUUGAUUUGGCUAAUUUGGCUGGCUACGUGGGUGUCCCCUUCCUCCCUUACCACUCCCAUGUGUGUCCCUCCAGAAGCUGUGCGCUCGGUUGAAAAGAACGACCAUCCCCGAUAGAGGAGGACCAGUCUUCGGUCAAGGGUAUACGAGUAGCUGCGCUCCCCUGCUAGAACCUCCAAACAAGCUCUCAUAUAAUUUUUAACUUACACAAAAGUUGCAAGACUAGUACAAGGAACUUCCGUAUACCUUUGUAC